AGAGUUUGAUCCUGGCUCAGGAUGAACGCUGGCGGAGUGCCUAACACAUGCAAGUCGAGCGGCAGCGCGAGUAGUUUACUACUUGGCGGCGAGCGGCGGACGGCUGAGUAACGCGUGGGAACAUGCCCCAAAGUGAGGAAUAACUGCCCGAAAGGGUAGCUAAUGCCGCAUACGAUCUUCGGAUUAAAGGAUUUAUCCGCUUUGGGAGUGGCCUGCGUACGAUUAGAUAGUUGGUGAGGUAAUGGCUCACCAAGUCUACGAUCGUUAACUGGUUUGAGAGGAUGAUCAGUCAGACUGGAACUGAGACACGGUCCAGACUCCUACGGGAGGCAGCAGUGAGGAAUCUUCCACAAUGGACGAAAGUCUGAUGGAGCAACUCCGCGUGCAGGAUGAAGGCCUUCGGGUCGUAAACUGCUUUUAUGAGUGAAGAAUAUGACGGUAACUCAUGAAUAAGGGUCGGCUAACUACGUG
This 471-nucleotide ribosomal RNA is filed under the name uncultured bacterium. RNAcentral's name for it is "bacterial SSU rRNA". It matches the Rfam family "Bacterial small subunit ribosomal RNA", at positions 8 to 507 of the family's 1533-position model. The record is from RNAcentral.